AACUGUCUAUGUUUAUAACAGUUUCCAUACUAACGUGUACUUCAUUACACUAUCAAUAUUAGCUUCGGUUAGCACCCACCUAUAGUCAGUCAAUCAGCGAAGUUCCGCCAGGCGUUGGGUAUUCCCUGCUUGUGUCAAUAUAUACAAAUCCAUGAACAAUAGGAUAGAGAGCUUGAUACUGUCUGUUGUGAAUGUGAUGACACCUUAGACAUUUUACAGAUCGUCAUUCGGUUAUCAG
Long non-coding RNA from Haliotis rubra (blacklip abalone), 238 nucleotides. RefSeq lists it as uncharacterized. NCBI's taxonomy places the organism in Eukaryota, Metazoa, Mollusca, Gastropoda, Lepetellida, Haliotidae. The transcript is spliced from 2 exons. The record is from RefSeq and is a predicted model, not a curated record.